UCUUCAUUUUCUCCCUCUUCCUAACUUUUUCGCCUAUUGGCAAUUCUGAAAUAAACCGAACCUGUCGCUUGAAACCAGCUUUUCGCUCCUUCUCCUCUUUUUCAUGACGCCAAUUGUGUUGUAUAUGGUCAAGAGAAGGACAGGAGAUGAAAUUGACACGUCUUUU
Molecule: non-coding RNA, 166 nt
Organism: Caenorhabditis elegans
Lineage: Eukaryota; Metazoa; Nematoda; Chromadorea; Rhabditida; Rhabditidae
Source: Ensembl